This 83-nucleotide transfer RNA is filed under the name Candidatus Curtissbacteria bacterium. RNAcentral describes it as "tRNA-Leu". It matches the Rfam family "tRNA". From Rfam's summary of the family: Transfer RNA (tRNA) molecules are approximately 80 nucleotides in length. Their secondary structure includes four short double-helical elements and three loops (D, anti-codon, and T loops). Further hydrogen bonds mediate the characteristic L-shaped molecular structure. tRNAs have two regions of fundamental functional importance: the anti-codon, which is responsible for specific mRNA codon recognition, and the 3' end, to which the tRNAs corresponding amino acid is attached (by aminoacyl-tRNA synthetases). tRNAs cope with the degeneracy of the genetic code in two manners: having more than one tRNA (with a specific anti-codon) for a particular amino acid; and 'wobble' base-pairing, i.e. permitting non-standard base-pairing at the 3rd anti-codon position. Lineage: Bacteria; Candidatus Curtissiibacteriota. The record is from RNAcentral.
GGGUCGGUGGCGAAAUGGUAUACGCGUACGCUUUAGGAGCGUAUGGGAUUAAACCCGUGGAGGUUCGACUCCUCUCCGACCCA